CGGGUGGCGUCAAGCUGCAAGCCCGGAGGAUUCAGCUGGCUAGGAUGUUGUGUAUGCGCCUGGCGCAUCUAUCAGCCGGAGUAAGAUGUGAUAGUCCACUGGUAAACGGUGGGCCCGGCCGCAAGGUUGGGAUAUGUGUACCGGGCGGAAGCCGGAGCAUGCUAUUCGUCUGUUGGGCUGUCUAGUCAGUGCACUUUCUCUGUGGUGAACACCACGACCGGUGGAAUUGCCAGUCUGCUGUAGUCAAGUCGUAUUCAGUCGGUUCUUGUAGCCAACUGGGUGCGAUCACAGGCAAACUCAGUAAACGGCGUAGGGGUGUCUCGGCAUCCUUGCGUGUUAUCGGCUGCUGGUUGUCAACGGGCCUGCCUGAUGAUUGUUGUAACCGUCAUUGGGUGGUCUGGUGGGCUAUGGUGGUAAGAAUAACUGUGCAAGGCAUCGGAGUUCUCGGCCUCAAAUGCAUCCUGCAUACACGUUACAAGUGGAGUGGGGUGCCAUUGCAGCCUGCCUGUUGUUGGGUCUGAUUGUCGUGUCGCCUGCGCAAAGUGGGCCCGGCAGUGGCCUGAUGCGGGAUGGGUUGUGGAUGG
This 584-nucleotide ribosomal RNA is filed under the name Clistobothrium grimaldii. RNAcentral's name for it is "Monorygma grimaldii partial 28S ribosomal RNA". Lineage: Eukaryota; Metazoa; Platyhelminthes; Cestoda; Phyllobothriidea; Phyllobothriidae. The record is from RNAcentral.